ACCAGGGUGAGGCUCACCCCUUGCACUCUGGGCAUGCUGACCCCUGUGAUUUCCCCAAAUGCGGGAAAUUCGACUGCAUAAUUUGUGGUAGUGGGGGACUGCGUGCACACUUUCCCC
Molecule: long non-coding RNA, 117 nt
Organism: Gavialis gangeticus (Gharial)
Lineage: Eukaryota; Metazoa; Chordata; Crocodylia; Gavialidae
Exons: 3
Source: RefSeq, a predicted model, not a curated record